This 85-nucleotide transfer RNA is filed under the name Erysimum angustatum. Its description in RNAcentral is "tRNA-Leu". Lineage: Eukaryota; Viridiplantae; Streptophyta; Magnoliopsida; Brassicales; Brassicaceae. The record is from RNAcentral.
GGGGAUAUGGCGGAAUUGGUAGACGCUACGGRCUUAAAAUCCGUUGACUUUUUAAAUCGUGAGGGUUCAAGUCCCUCUAUCCCCA